CAAUAGCGUAUAUUAAAGUUGUUGCAGUUAAAAAGCUCGUAGUUGGAUUUCGGGACGGUCCGGCUGGUCCGCCGCAAGGCGUGUUACUGACCGGGCUGUCCUUCUUUGCAAAGGCUGCAUGUGCUCUUAACUGAGUGUGUGUAGGAUUUGUGACGUUUACUUUGAAAAAAUUAGAGUGUUCAAAGCAGGCCAGCGCUUGAAUACAUAAGCAUGGAAUAAUGGAAUAGGACUUUGGUUCUAUUUUGUAGGUUUCUGGAACCGAAGUAAUGAUUAAAAGGGACAGUUGGGGGCAUUCGUAUUUCGUCGCUAGAGGUGAAAUUCUUAGAUUGACGAAAGACAAACUGCUGCGAAAGCGUCUGCCAAGGAUGUUUUCAUUGA
RNAcentral lists this ribosomal RNA (378 nucleotides) under uncultured eukaryote. Its description in RNAcentral is "partial 18S ribosomal RNA". It matches the Rfam family "Eukaryotic small subunit ribosomal RNA", at positions 592 to 976 of the family's 1831-position model. The record is from RNAcentral.